Molecule: ribosomal RNA, 252 nt
Filed under: uncultured bacterium
Lineage: Bacteria
Description: partial 16S ribosomal RNA
Rfam family: Bacterial small subunit ribosomal RNA
Source: RNAcentral
UACGUAGGGUCCGAGCGUUGUCCGGAAUUAUUGGGCGUAAAGGGCUCGUAGGCGGUUUGUCGCGUCGGGAGUGAAAACCUACAGCUUACUGUGGGCUUGCUUUCGAUACGGGCAGACUUGAGGCAUGCAGGGGAGAACGGAAUUCCUGGUGUAGCGGUGAAAUGCGCAGAUAUCAGGAGGAACACCGGUGGCGAAGGCGGUUCUCUGGGCAUGUUCUGACGCUGAGGAGCGAAAGUGUGGGGAGCGAACAGG